This 17-nucleotide small RNA is filed under the name Arabidopsis thaliana (thale cress). Its description in RNAcentral is "ATSL233360". Lineage: Eukaryota; Viridiplantae; Streptophyta; Magnoliopsida; Brassicales; Brassicaceae. The record is from RNAcentral.
AUACAAUUCAGAAAACA